CUCAGACAGGUUAUACCAUUCAAAGUAAUGGUCCAUAUCAGCGAGCCAGUCAAUGAAGACUUUUGGGUCAAGACGACCAUCAUAACUUGGUGCAUCGAUCUUAAUACUGCGCAUUACAUGCUCAUCUGGUGUCUCACGUGCUCUUAGAUAGUCCCUUUGGUGUUGUGGCCCAAGGCCUCUGGGGCGGGGCGAUGUCGGAGGGUGGCGAUCUUCGUUUUGGGGAGCGAAGGAAGCGGCGAGGGCGGAGGAUGGAGUCGGCAACGGAAGUGGAGGUGGUGGCGCGGGGAAAGAGAGGCUUCGGUGAGAUGGGAGGGAGAAGGGUUUUAGUGAGCUGAGAGGGAGAAGAAAAUGGGAAGAACUCAAGGGUCGGUGGAGGGUGGAGGAAACGGAGAAGAUGAAAAAGAGGGGAAGG
Molecule: long non-coding RNA, 412 nt
Filed under: Phoenix dactylifera (date palm)
Lineage: Eukaryota; Viridiplantae; Streptophyta; Magnoliopsida; Arecales; Arecaceae
Description: long non-coding RNA (PDAC_LNC020845)
Source: RNAcentral